This 462-nucleotide long non-coding RNA is filed under the name Brassica napus (rape). RNAcentral describes it as "long non-coding RNA (BNAP_LNC014071)". Lineage: Eukaryota; Viridiplantae; Streptophyta; Magnoliopsida; Brassicales; Brassicaceae. The record is from RNAcentral.
UGAUCGGUAAUGAUAUGGUUUGACCAGUGGCGUCUGUUCCCAAUUUAUGUUUUUCAUUGCUUGGAAUCAGUUACAGCAGUUGUUUCUAAUUGUUCUCACUAGUUUAAAUAAAGCACUGAUGGUUAUUUAUUUUUCUGUUCUAUCAGGUGCUGCAAUUGUUUUGAGCUUAAUUAAUUUAUUCCAUUUCUCUCCACUGGUUUCAUCAUAUUUUCAGGUGGACUUUUGUUUAUGCUUCGGACCAGUCUUAUAUUUUGGCGGUGUUUAAGGGCUUUUUUUUUCUAAUGGAGCAAGCUAUGUGUUGAUCACCCGUUUGGACGUUUGGUUUGCAUGGUUUGAGAUACUUUGAUUUGGGCUUUUGUUUCCAAGAGAGGUUGAGUUCUUGUGUUUGAUGUUUUUACUUUAUGGAGGUGCGAAAAGAUUAUGGGUCCACUAUUUAUUAUUUUGAUACGUUUGUAGCUAAUA